GGUUGUGUAGUGUAGCGGUUAUCACUCCGGAUUCUGAUUCGAACAAUAUCUUCCGGCAACCCCGGUUCGAUUCCGGGCACGACCU
Molecule: non-coding RNA, 85 nt
Organism: Apodospora peruviana
Lineage: Eukaryota; Fungi; Ascomycota; Sordariomycetes; Sordariales; Lasiosphaeriaceae
Source: the annotation of a GenBank genome assembly